CUCCGUGUACUCUCAGGACUACCGCAGCCUCCCGUUACAAGCCAUGGAACGGCAUAUUCUUAUUUAUUGGCAAAGCUGUCUCCAUUUAUUUGGUGUCCUUUUCUUAUUUGCCCAAAUAACAUUA
Molecule: small nucleolar RNA, 124 nt
Organism: Meriones unguiculatus (Mongolian gerbil)
Lineage: Eukaryota; Metazoa; Chordata; Mammalia; Rodentia; Muridae
Source: Ensembl